This 1134-nucleotide ribosomal RNA is filed under the name uncultured bacterium. Its description in RNAcentral is "bacterial SSU rRNA". It matches the Rfam family "Bacterial small subunit ribosomal RNA", at positions 61 to 1202 of the family's 1533-position model. The record is from RNAcentral.
GUCGACGCUGAAGCCUGGUGCUUGCACCGGGUGGAUGAGUGGCGAACGGGUGAGUAACACGUGAGUAACCUGCCCCUGACUUCGGGAUAAGCCCGGGAAACUGGGUCUAAUACCGGAUACGACCGUCGGACGCAUGUCUGGUGGUGGAAAGUUUUUUCGGUUGGGGAUGGGCUCGCGGCCUAUCAGUUUGUUGGUGAGGUAAUGGCUCACCAAGACGACGACGGGUAGCCGGCCUGAGAGGGCGACCGGCCACACUGGGACUGAGACACGGCCCAGACUCCUACGGGAGGCAGCAGUGGGGAAUAUUGCACAAUGGGGGAAACCCUGAUGCAGCGACGCAGCGUGCGGGAUGACGGCCUUCGGGUUGUAAACCGCUUUCAGCAGGGAAGAAGCGCAAGUGACGGUACCUGCAGAAGAAGUACCGGCUAACUACGUGCCAGCAGCCGCGGUAAUACGUAGGGUACGAGCGUUGUCCGGAAUUAUUGGGCGUAAAGAGCUCGUAGGUGGUUGGUCACGUCUGCUGUGGAAACGCAACGCUUAACGUUGCGCGUGCAGUGGGUACGGGCUGACUAGAGUGCAGUAGGGGAGUCUGGAAUUCCUGGUGUAGCGGUGAAAUGCGCAGAUAUCAGGAGGAACACCGGUGGCGAAGGCGGGACUCUGGGCUGUAACUGACACUGAGGAGCGAAAGCAUGGGGAGCGAACAGGAUUAGAUACCCUGGUAGUCCAUGCCGUAAACGUUGGGCACUAGGUGUGGGGGGCAUUCCACGUUCUCCGCGCCGUAGCUAACGCAUUAAGUGCCCCGCCUGGGGAGUACGGUCGCAAGGCUAAAACUCAAAGGAAUUGACGGGGGCCCGCACAAGCGGCGGAGCAUGCGGAUUAAUUCGAUGCAACGCGAAGAACCUUACCAAGGCUUGACAUACACCAGACCGUCCUGGAAACAGGUCCUCUUCUUUGAAGCUGGUGUACAGGUGGUGCAUGGUUGUCGUCAGCUCGUGUCGUGAGAUGUUGGGUUAAGUCCCGCAACGAGCGCAACCCUCGUUCUAUGUUGCCAGCACGUGAUGGUGGGAACUCAUAGGAGACUGCCGGGGUCAACUCGGAGGAAAGGUGGGGAUGACGUCAAAUCAUCAUGCCCUU